Molecule: ribosomal RNA, 420 nt
Filed under: Chloroflexota bacterium
Lineage: Bacteria; Bacillati; Chloroflexota
Description: Chloroflexi bacterium partial 16S ribosomal RNA
Rfam family: Bacterial small subunit ribosomal RNA
Source: RNAcentral
UGGGGGAUAUUGCACAAUGGGCGAAAGCCUGAUGCAGCGACGCCGCGUGGGGGAUGAAGGCUUUCGGGUUGUAAACCUCUUUCGCUAUCGAACAAGGCCCGCUUAGGGUGGGUUGAGGGUAGGUGGAGAAGAAGCGCCGGCUAACUACGUGCCAGCAGCCGCGGUAAUACGUAGGUGGCAAGCGUUGUCCGGAUUUAUUGGGCGUAAAGCGAGCGCAGGCGGUUUCUUAAGUCUGAUGUGAAAGCCCCCGGCUCAACCGGGGAGGGUCAUUGGAAACUGGGAGACUUGAGUGCAGAAGAGGAGAGUGGAAUUCCAUGUGUAGCGGUGAAAUGCGUAGAUAUAUGGAGGAACACCAGUGGCGAAGGCGGCUCUCUGGUCUGUAACUGACGCUGAGGCUCGAAAGCGUGGGGAGCAAACAGG